CCUACGGGAGACAGCAGUAGGGAAUCUUUCACAAUGGGCGAAAGCCUGAUGGAGCAACGCCGCGUGCAGGAUGAAGGCCUUCGGGUUGUAAACUGCUUUUAUAAGCGAGAAAUAUGAUGGUAACUUAUGAAUAAGGAUCGGCUAACUACGUGCCAGCAGCCGCGGUCAUACGUAGGAUCCGAGCAUUAUCCGGAGUGACUGGGUGUAAAGAGUUGCGUAGGUGGAAUAAUAAGUAGCUAGUGAAAUCUGGUGGCUCAACCAUUCAGACUAUUAGCUAAACUGUUAAGCUCGAGACCGUUAGAGGUAACUGGAAUGUGUAGUGUAGGAGUGAAAUCCGUAGAUAUUAGAAGGAACACCGAUAGCGUAGGCAGGUUGCUGGGACGGUUCUGACACUAAGGCACGAAAGCGUAGGGAGCAAACGGGAUUAGAUACCCCAGUAGUC
This 442-nucleotide ribosomal RNA is filed under the name uncultured bacterium. RNAcentral describes it as "partial 16S ribosomal RNA". It matches the Rfam family "Bacterial small subunit ribosomal RNA", at positions 338 to 795 of the family's 1533-position model. The record is from RNAcentral.